This 559-nucleotide ribosomal RNA is filed under the name uncultured bacterium. RNAcentral's name for it is "bacterial SSU rRNA". It matches the Rfam family "Bacterial small subunit ribosomal RNA", at positions 120 to 674 of the family's 1533-position model. The record is from RNAcentral.
GGGAAACUGCCCGAUGGAGGGGGAUAACUACUGGAAACGGUAGCUAAUACCGCAUAACGUCGCAAGACCAAAGUGGGGGACCUUCGGGCCUCACACCAUCGGAUGUGCCCAGAUGGGAUUAGCUAGUAGGUGGGGUAAUGGCUCACCUAGGCGACGAUCCCUAGCUGGUCUGAGAGGAUGACCAGCCACACUGGAACUGAGACACGGUCCAGACUCCUACGGGAGGCAGCAGUGGGGAAUAUUGCACAAUGGGCGUAAGCCUGAUGCAGCCAUGCCGCGUGUAUGAAGAAGGCCUUCGGGUUGUAAAGUACUUUCAGCGGGGAGGAAGGCGGUGGAGUUAAUAGCUUCACCGAUUGACGUUACCCGCAGAAGAAGCACCGGCUAACUCCGUGCCAGCAGCCGCGGUAAUACGGAGGGUGCAAGCGUUAAUCGGAAUUACUGGGCGUAAAGCGCACGCAGGCGGUCUGUCAAGUCGGAUGUGAAAUCCCCGGGCUUAACCUGGGAACUGCAUUCGAAACUGGCAGGCUAGAGUCUUGUAGAGGGGGGUAGAAUUCCAGGU